RNAcentral lists this ribosomal RNA (468 nucleotides) under uncultured bacterium. RNAcentral's name for it is "partial 16S ribosomal RNA". It matches the Rfam family "Bacterial small subunit ribosomal RNA", at positions 28 to 507 of the family's 1533-position model. The record is from RNAcentral.
GACGAACGCUGGCGGCGUGCUUAACGCAUGCAAGUCGAACGGAAAGGCCCUGCUUUUGUGGGGUGCUCGAGUGGCGAACGGGUGAGUAACACGUGAGUAACCUGCCCUUGACUUUGGGAUAACUUCAGGAAACUGGGGCUAAUACCGGAUAGGAGCUCCCGCUGCAUGGUGGGGGUUGGAAAGUUUCGGCGGUUGGGGAUGGACUCGCGGCUUAUCAGCUUGUUGGUGGGGUAGUGGCUUACCAAGGCUUUGACGGGUAGCCGGCCUGAGAGGGUGACCGGCCACAUUGGGACUGAGAUACGGCCCAGACUCCUACGGGAGGCAGCAGUGGGGAAUAUUGCACAAUGGGCGGAAGCCUGAUGCAGCAACGCCGCGUGCGGGAUGACGGCCUUCGGGUUGUAAACCGCUUUCGCCUGUGACGAAGCGUGAGUGACGGUAAUGGGUAAAGAAGCACCGGCUAACUACGUG